This is a long non-coding RNA of Dreissena polymorpha, 1751 nucleotides long. RefSeq lists it as uncharacterized. The transcript is spliced from 3 exons. The record is from RefSeq and is a predicted model, not a curated record. Lineage: Eukaryota; Metazoa; Mollusca; Bivalvia; Myida; Dreissenidae.
UAAAUGGCACCGGGGAUGAACAACUUUUGUCACGUGACCGCAAAAGUCAACGCCGGUUGCAGAAACAGAUUGUAAUCUUGUACAUUAAGAAACAUGACGCUCGUGUGUGAAAUCUGUGGAAAGACAUUUAAAUCGAAGUGGGGGUUAAAGCUUCAUGAUAAGCGCCACAGAGGGACUGGACGAUUCGCCUGUUGUGGAAAAACAUUUUACACAAAACAGGCGUUCAACAGACACAGAUGCAGCAUUCAUGGUGUUGAAAAGCCGUUCCCCUGUGAACAAUGCGGCAAAAAGUUUUCAACCAAAGAUGACCUGAAUCGUCACGUCCGGAGGGAGGUUGCUGCAAAGCAAUUUACCUGCUCAAUUUGCAAUGCAACGCUCCGGGAGAAAAUUGACCUUCAGGCCCACCUUGCCACCCACAAUGGAGAGAAAAACUUUGCUUGUGAUAUGUGUGAAAAGAGGUACAGGCACCGCAGUAGUCUAUCAAAGCACAGAUCUGCAAAGCACCGGGCCUAGUCAUCUGUUGCAUGACGAUGAUAAGACCAAGAAUUAUUUUUAAUUCUUACCAAUGUGCCGUGGUUAUUUUCUUAAUUAUUGAAAAUACAGACUGUCAUACAAUAAUAUAUAGUAUUACGCGUGUUUUUGCGUCUUAAACAUUGUGUUUCAUAUCGUUUAUCUUGUGUUGUUUUGUUUGAUAUUCCUGUUUUUAAUAAGAUUAUUGUUGUAAUAUUUAUCAUUCUAAUUUAAAAUGAUUAUGAUAAUGGUUGAUCUCAUACAAAUUAUUGUGUUCAUUAUUGCUCAUCUGUGAUUACUGUUGAUCUCAGCCCAUGAAUUGUGAUUUAUAUUGAUUAUCUGUGAUUAUUGUUGAUCUUAUCAAAAUAAUUGUAAUUUAUGUUGAUUAUCUUUGAAUUUUUUAUCUUAACCUAUUAAUAGUGAUUUAUAUUAUCUGUGAUUAUUGUUGAUCUUAUCAAAAUCAUUGUGAUUUAUGUUGAUUAUCUGUGAUUAUUGUUGAUCUCAACCGAUUAAUUGUGAUUUAUAUAACCAGUGAUUAUUGUUGAUCUUAUCAAAAUCAUUGUAAUUUAUGUUGAUUAUCUGUGAUUAUUGUUGAUCUUUUCGAAAUCAUUGUAAUUUAUGUUGAUUAUCUGUGAUUAUUGUUGAUCUUUUCGAAAUCAUUGUAAUUUAUGUUGAUUAUCUGUGAUUAUUGUUGAUCUUUUCAAAAUCAUUGUAAUUUAUGUUGAUUAUCUGUGAUUAUUGUUGAUCUCACCAUAUCCGCUGGAAUAUACAUUUGAGCCGCGCUCUGUGAAAAGGGGGUUUAAUGCAUGUGCGUAAAGUGCAGUCCACAUAGGCUAAUCAGGGACGGCACUUUCCGCUUUUAUGAUAUGUUUUGUUAAAAGAAAGUCUCUUCUGAGCAAAAAUCGAGUUUAUCGGAAAGGUUUGUCCCUAAUUAGCCUGUACGGAAUGCACAGGCUAAUAUGUGACGACACCUUACGCACAUGCAUUAAACCCCCUUUUCACAGAGCGAGACUCAUUUGUAAUCUGCGAUUUUUGUUUAUCUAUUUCGAAUCAAUAUGAUUAAAAUAUAUUUUUGGUGAGUUAGCUUUUUGUCUCAUUGGAAUCAUUGUGCGAAUUGUCAACAAUUACAUGUAAAUCUGUAAUUCCUUCUCAAGUUGCACAUAGGCCAGUUUAAUGUUUUGCGUAUAAGCUAUUAUUGCGAUACGGGAUAUUCUUUGCAGCAAUAAAACAAUUAAUCUGCA